GACGAACGCUGGCGGCGUGCUUAACACAUGCAAGUCGAACGGAAAGGCCCUGCUUGCAGGGUACUCGAGUGGCGAACGGGUGAGUAACACGUGGGUGAUCUGCCCUGCACUUCGGGAUAAGCUUGGGAAACUGGGUCUAAUACCGGAUAGGAGCCAUCUUUAGUGUGGGGGUUGGAAAGUUUUUUCGGUGUAGGAUGAGCUCGCGGCCUAUCAGCUUGUUGGUGGGGUAAUGGCCUACCAAGGCGGCGACGGGUAGCCGGCCGGGGAGGGUGUACGGCCACAUUGGGACUGAGGUACGGCCCAGACUCCUACGAGAGGCAGCAGUGGGGAAGAUUGCACAAUGGGCGCAAGCCUGAUGCAGCGACGCCGCGUGGGGGAUGAAGGCCUUCGGGUUGUAAACUCCUUUCGCUAGGGACGAAGCUUUUUUGUGACGGUACCUAGAUAAGAAGCACCGGCUAACUACGUG
RNAcentral lists this ribosomal RNA (466 nucleotides) under uncultured bacterium. RNAcentral's name for it is "partial 16S ribosomal RNA". It matches the Rfam family "Bacterial small subunit ribosomal RNA", at positions 28 to 507 of the family's 1533-position model. The record is from RNAcentral.